AUGCCUAGGUGGGAUUAGCUAGUUGGUGAGGUAAGGGCUCACCAAGGCGACGAUCCCUAGCUGGUCUGAGAGGAUGAUCAGCCACACUGGAACUGAGACACGGUCCAGACUCCUACGGGAGGCAGCAGUGGGGAAUAUUGCACAAUGGGCGCAAGCCUGAUGCAGCCAUGCCGCGUGUGUGAAGAAGGCCUUCGGGUUGUAAAGCACUUUCAGUCGUGAGGAAGGUAGUGUAGUUAAUAGCUGCAUUAUUUGACGUUAGCGACAGAAGAAGCACCGGCUAACUCCGUGCCAGCAGCCGCGGUAAUACGGAGGGUGCGAGCGUUAAUCGGAAUUACUGGGCGUAAAGCGCAUGCAGGUGGUUUGUUAAGUCAGAUGUGAAAGCCCGGGGCUCAACCUCGGAAUUGCAUUUGAAACUGGCAGACUAGAGUACUGUAGAGGGGGGUAGAAUUUCAGGUGUAGCGGUGAAAUGCGUAGAGAUCUGAAGGAAUACCGGUGGCGAAGGCGGCCCCCUGGACAGAUACUGACACUCAGAUGCGAAAGCGUGGGGAGCAAACAGGAUUAGAUACCCUGGUAGUCCACGCCGUAAACGAUGUCUACUUGGAGGUUGUGGCCUUGAGCCGUGGCUUUCGGAGCUAACGCGUUAAGUAGACCGCCUGGGGAGUACGGUCGCAAGAUUAAAACUCAAAUGAAUUGACGGGGGCCCGCACAAGCGGUGGAGCAUGUGGUUUAAUUCGAUGCAACGCGAAGAACCUUACCUACUCUUGACAUCCAGAGAACUUUCCAGAGAUGGAUUGGUGCCUUCGGGAACUCUGAGACAGGUGCUGCAUGGCUGUCGUCAGCUCGUGUUGUGAAAUGUUGGGUUAAGUCCCGCAACGAGCGCAACCCUUAUCCUUGU
Molecule: ribosomal RNA, 895 nt
Filed under: Vibrio sp.
Lineage: Bacteria; Pseudomonadati; Pseudomonadota; Gammaproteobacteria; Vibrionales; Vibrionaceae
Description: bacterial SSU rRNA
Rfam family: Bacterial small subunit ribosomal RNA
Source: RNAcentral